This 206-nucleotide long non-coding RNA is filed under the name Gallus gallus (chicken). The record is from RNAcentral. Lineage: Eukaryota; Metazoa; Chordata; Aves; Galliformes; Phasianidae.
CGGCUUUGUAUCUGUGUUGUUCGGCAGUCGUUCGGGACACUUCCAGCUGGUCUCUGUGCCUGGAGCCUGUAGGCCACAGCUGCAUCCUGUGGGGAGCUGGAUAGCACUGCCAUCACAACGGCUGUGGAGCUCUCAGACUUCAUUGUCUCCAGUGGUGUUUUCACAGGUGUGAUGGGCCGAGGAAUUCUGCUCUUUGUGCUUAUGAG